AUGAGCGGCAGUCAGCACGAGGUCGGGGUGGAGGGUCAUGAGCACCAGCAGGCGCGUCGAGGGGCACCAUGGUCACUGUGGGAGCACGCCAAACCCGAAGGCCAUCACCAGCCACUGCUUAGCACACUGCGAGAUCGGCGGUCAAGGCCACGUUCACGGCUUCGGGGGACCACCCACGGUCACCAAGGUGGCGGCGUCCAUGUAGGAGAGAGAGAAGAUGAGGAGAGAGAGAGAAGGAAGGAGAGGAGGGACAAAGAGAGGUCAGUGGAGAGGGAGGUGCAGUGUCGUGAGAAGAAUACAAUGGGGCACGGUCUUCUGGAGGUGCAUCAGGUCCAUGCCAAGGGCCUCUCGGGCAGCGAUUUCCUCGGGAAGAUACACUCGUACGUGGUCGUGCAGUACCGGAGCCAGGAGCGCAAGGGCAGCACGGCCCGAGAUAACUACUUCAGGUUAGGCGGGAGAAUUAAAAAGGGUAAGCAUAGAUAUAUGGUCUAG
This 492-nucleotide ribosomal RNA is filed under the name Triticum aestivum (bread wheat). Its description in RNAcentral is "partial small subunit ribosomal RNA". The record is from RNAcentral. Lineage: Eukaryota; Viridiplantae; Streptophyta; Magnoliopsida; Poales; Poaceae.